GAGCUGAGCCAGCCGGACGAUGACCAGUACUGUCUUCGGAUCUGCCGGGUGGGCCGCCGGGAUGUGGGGACCCUCACUUGCACUGCCCACAACCGCCAUGGCACACAGUCCUGCUCGGUCACACUGGAGCUGGCAGAGGCCCCUCGGUUUGAGUCCAUCAUGGAGGAUGUUGAGGUGGGAGCUGGAGAAACCGCUCGCUUCGCCGUGGUGGUUGAGGGGAAACCACUGCCGGACAUCAUGUGGUACAAGGACGAGAUGCUGCUGACCGAGAGCAACCACGUGAGCUUCGUGUACGAGGAGAAUGAGUGCUCCCUGGUGGUGCUCAGCGCG
Molecule: long non-coding RNA, 330 nt
Filed under: Balaenoptera musculus (blue whale)
Lineage: Eukaryota; Metazoa; Chordata; Mammalia; Artiodactyla; Balaenopteridae
Description: lncRNA (ENSBMSG00010001452.1)
Source: RNAcentral